Molecule: non-coding RNA, 75 nt
Filed under: uncultured Candidatus Pelagibacter sp.
Lineage: Bacteria; Pseudomonadati; Pseudomonadota; Alphaproteobacteria; Candidatus Pelagibacterales; Candidatus Pelagibacteraceae
Description: Glycine riboswitch
Rfam family: Glycine riboswitch aptamer
About the family: This family represents the bacterial glycine riboswitch.
Source: RNAcentral
AUACGGGAGAGAUCACAAUUAAUGUGGCACCGAAGGAGCAACUACCCAGGAAACUCUCAGGUAAAAGGACCGUAA